AACAUCGCGCACCUGCGGGAACCUGCGGAAGGAUCAUUACCGAGUGUGAACCCCCCCGUAAAAAAGAGGGGUUACCUCCCGUCCUUUGCUGGGAACCCCUUUCCAACUUGGAAGGAGGUUGUUUUCAGACCCUUCUGCUUCGGUGGGGUAACCCACCGGAACAACCUCAAAAAUAUUCUCAAUUCAAAACCGUUCAGUCCGAGAACUUUUUUGAAAAGCGAAAAAACUUUUAGCAAUGGA
Molecule: unclassified non-coding RNA, 240 nt
Filed under: soil metagenome
Description: partial contains 5.8S ribosomal RNA, internal transcribed spacer 2, and large subunit ribosomal RNA
Source: RNAcentral